UGUCCAGUAGCACCUUAGAGACCAAGUAAGUUUGUUCUUGGUAUAAGCUUUCGUGUGCAGAAGCACACGAAAGCUUAUACCAAGAACAAACUUAGCUGGUCUCUAAGGUGCUACUGGACA
Non-coding RNA from Podarcis lilfordi (Lilford's wall lizard), 120 nucleotides. The record is from the annotation of a GenBank genome assembly. NCBI's taxonomy places the organism in Eukaryota, Metazoa, Chordata, Lepidosauria, Squamata, Lacertidae.